RNAcentral lists this ribosomal RNA (484 nucleotides) under uncultured bacterium. RNAcentral's name for it is "partial 16S ribosomal RNA". It matches the Rfam family "Bacterial small subunit ribosomal RNA", at positions 30 to 507 of the family's 1533-position model. The record is from RNAcentral.
AUUGAACGCUGGCGGCAUGCUUUACACAUGCAAGUCGAACGGCAGCGCCGUCUUCGGUUUGGCGGCGAGUGGCGAACGGGUGAGUAAUACAUCUGAACGUACUCCGCUUGAGGGUGUAAUUAGUUGAAAGAUUAGCUAAUACUGCCGACGACGUGCGGGUGCUAGAUGGGGGUGGCAAGGCCGUUCGCACCAGGGGCGAUCGAUGCCCGAUUAGCUAGCUGGUGGGCUAAAGACCCACCAAGCCGACGAUCAGCAGCUGGCCUGUGAGGACGAUCAGCCACACUGGGACUGGGACAGGGACAAGAGGCCUACGGGAGGCAGCAGUGGGGAAUGUUAGACAAUAGUGGCAAACCUGAUACAACGGUGCCGCGUGUGUGGAGAAGGCGCUCGGGUUGUAAAGCACGUUUGUGCGGAAAGAAAUCGCGCUGGUUAAUACCUAGCGUGGGUGACGGUACCGGAAGAAUAAGCACCGGCUAACUACGUG